Molecule: ribosomal RNA, 430 nt
Filed under: Coptotermes crassus
Lineage: Eukaryota; Metazoa; Arthropoda; Insecta; Blattodea; Rhinotermitidae
Description: partial 16S ribosomal RNA
Source: RNAcentral
UUACGCUGUUAUCCCUAAGGUAAUUUAAUCUUAUAAUCAAAAUAAAUGGAUCAAACAACUAUAAAUCAAUAUAACCUAAAACCAAGGAGGAGUUAAACUAUAUUCCUCUCAUCACCCCAACAAAACAAAAAGCCCACUUACCAAAAACAAAACAAACAACAUAAAUAAAUAAGCCAAAUGUUAAACUCUAUAGGGUCUUCUCGUCCCAUAAAAACAUCUAAGAAUUUUAACUCAAAGACCAAAUUCAAUAAAACAUUCAUCACUAAGACAGCCAGUGCCUCGUCAAGCCAUUCAUUCCAGAUCACAAUUAAAGAACUAAUGAUUAUGCUACCUUUGCACGGUCAAAAUACCGCGGCCCUUCAACACUCAAGUCAGCGGGCAGGCCAUACUUCAAAAACUAACAAGAAAAGAUGUUUUUGAUAAACAGGCG